GAGUCAGUAGCUGAGUGGAUAACGUGAUGGCGUUUCAAGGUGACGGUACUGGGUUCGAGUCCCAGCGUAAAC
Molecule: transfer RNA, 72 nt
Filed under: Schistosoma mansoni
Lineage: Eukaryota; Metazoa; Platyhelminthes; Trematoda; Strigeidida; Schistosomatidae
Source: RNAcentral